RNAcentral lists this ribosomal RNA (254 nucleotides) under uncultured bacterium. RNAcentral describes it as "partial 16S ribosomal RNA". It matches the Rfam family "Bacterial small subunit ribosomal RNA", at positions 524 to 776 of the family's 1533-position model. The record is from RNAcentral.
UACGGAGGGUGCAAGCGUUAUCCGGAUUCACUGGGUUUAAAGGGUGCGUAGGUGGGUCUGAAAGUCAGUGGUGAAAUCUCCGGGCUUAACUCGGAAACUGCCAUUGAUACUAUCUGUCUUGAAUACCGUGGAGGUCAGCGGAAUAUGUCAUGUAGCGGUGAAAUGCUUAGAUAUGACAUAGAACACCAAUUGCGAAGGCAGCUCACUAAGCAAAUAUUGACGCUGAGGCACGAAAGCGUGGGGAUCAAAACAGG